UUUUUCGGAGCCAUUCAAGCUUUAAAGGCUAAAAUCAAGAAGUUUAGGUUUUUGGCUAUGGUUUUGGUGUAAAUCUUGUAUGAUUUGGAGUUUAUAUAAAGAAGAUAUAGGUGCUCAAAGUUAAGGUAUUGAUUUAGGAGCUACUGUCACUCUUUUUGAUAAAACAUACGCAUACGGAUAGCAACUGAGGAUAGGAGACCUUAACUAAAGAAAGCACUUUUGUGGCUACACUUUUUAUGUACUGCUUGCUAGAUUUCAAGUUGGAAUGAAGGAGUUAUUGAAUUUUGAAGUCAGCGCAUGCAAUCUAAGAGUAGUAAGUGACCCGAUUUACUAGUGGUUGUGACUUGAGCUGUAUCUUGAGCAAUUUGACAAGGUUUUGGCUCAAAAUUUUAGAAAAUGUAUAAUUUUAUGUUAGUAAACUUUGUACAUAAGUUUGACAUUUGAAUAUUGGAUUCUUGAAAUACUAAGAAAAUAGUGCUCAUAUGCUUGUAAUUUAGGAUUUAGAGUAACUUCUAGAAUUUCUUAGAUACCAAAAGAUCGAGAGUGAAUUUGUGGUUGAUUGUUUUUGUGGUAAAAAUUAAGAAUGAAUUCUACCUAUCCUAUAAAUUUGAAACAAAUUGAACAAUUAGAUCAAGAGUUAUGAAUUUCUAAAGUUUGAGACAAGAAAAUCCUUCGCGGAAAAAAUAUGUUUUGAAGGAAUUUUGUUAUAUUUU
This 713-nucleotide long non-coding RNA is filed under the name Physcomitrium patens. Its description in RNAcentral is "long non-coding RNA (PPAT_LNC003635)". Lineage: Eukaryota; Viridiplantae; Streptophyta; Bryopsida; Funariales; Funariaceae. The record is from RNAcentral.